RNAcentral lists this ribosomal RNA (497 nucleotides) under uncultured bacterium. Its description in RNAcentral is "partial 16S ribosomal RNA". It matches the Rfam family "Bacterial small subunit ribosomal RNA", at positions 28 to 507 of the family's 1533-position model. The record is from RNAcentral.
GAUGAACGCUGGCGGCGUGCCUAAUACAUGCAAGUCGAGCGAACAGACGAGGAGCUUGCUCCUCUGACGUUAGCGGCGGACGGGUGAGUAACACGUGGAUAACCUACCUAUAAGACUGGGAUGACUUCGGGAAACCGGAGCUAAUACCGGAUAAUAUAUUGAACCGCAUGGUUCACUAGUGAAAGUCGGUUUUGCUGUCACUUAUAGAUGAAUCCGCGCCGCAUUAGCUAGUUGGUAAGGUAACGGCUUACCAAGGCAACGAUGCGUAGCCGACCUGAGAGGGUGAUCGGCCACACUGGAACUGAGACACGGUCCAGACACCGACGGGAGGCAGCAGUAGGGAAUCUUCCGCAAUGGGCGAAAGCCUGACGGAGCAACGCCGCGUGAGGGAUGAAGGUCUUCGGAUCGGAAAACUCUGUUAUUAGGGAAGAACAAAUGUGUAAGUAACUAUGCACGUCUUGACGGUACCUAAACAGAAAGCCACGGCUAACUACGUG